UGUGGAGCGACCCCUGCGAGGGGGAGCCGCGAAUCGGGUCAGGCCUUAACCGGAGCAGCCCUAAGUGGUGUACUCUUGUGUGGGGGUCGCUCCGUGUUG
RNAcentral lists this signal recognition particle RNA (99 nucleotides) under Planctomycetaceae bacterium. Its description in RNAcentral is "signal recognition particle sRNA small type". It matches the Rfam family "Bacterial small signal recognition particle RNA". From Rfam's summary of the family: The signal recognition particle (SRP) is a universally conserved ribonucleoprotein involved in the co-translational targeting of proteins to membranes. The record is from RNAcentral. Lineage: Bacteria; Pseudomonadati; Planctomycetota; Planctomycetia; Planctomycetales; Planctomycetaceae.